GACGAACGCUGGCGGCGUGCUUAACACAUGCAAGUCGAACGGAAAGGCCCCCAUCUUGGUGGGGGUGCUCGAGUGGCGAACGGGUGAGUAACACGUGGGUGAUCUGCCCUGUACUUCGGGAUAAGCUUGGGAAACUGGGUCUAAUACCGGAUAGGACCAUGGUUUAGUGUCUCAUGGUGGAAAGAUUAUUGUUUUGGUGCAGGAUGAGCUCGCGGCCUAUCAGCUUGUUGGUGGGGUAAUGGCCUACCAAGGCGUCGACGGGUAGCCGGCCUGAGAGGGUGGACGGCCACAUUGGGACUGAGAUACGGCCCAGACUCCGACGGGAGGCAGCAGUGGGGAAGAUUGCACAAUGGGCGCAAGCCUGAUGCAGCGACGCCGCGUGGGGGAUGACGGCCUUCGGGUUGUAAACUCCUUUCGUUAGGGACGAAGCCACGCUUGUGGGGUGUGGUGACGGUACCUUUGUGAAGAAGCACCGGCUAACUACGUG
This 487-nucleotide ribosomal RNA is filed under the name uncultured bacterium. Its description in RNAcentral is "partial 16S ribosomal RNA". It matches the Rfam family "Bacterial small subunit ribosomal RNA", at positions 28 to 507 of the family's 1533-position model. The record is from RNAcentral.